UCCGGUUGAUCCUGCCGGCGGUCACUGCUAUCGAGUUUCGACUAAGCCAUGCGAGUCACAGGCCGAAAGGUACUGGCGGACGGCUCAGUAACACGCGGAUAAUCUACCCUCAGGUGGGGUAUACCCUUGGGAAACUGAGGCUAAUCCCCCAUAGGUCCUGUAAACUGGAAUGUUUUAGGACUGAAAGUCACGGCGCCUGAGGAUGAGUCUGCGGCCUACCAGGUAGUAGGUGGGGUAAAGGCCCACAUAGCCUAUGACGGGUACGGGCCCUGAGAGGGGUAGCCCGGAGAUGGGUUCUGAGACACGAACCCAGGCCCUACGGGGCGCAGCAGGCGCGAAACCUUCGCAAUGCGCGCAAGCGCGACGAGGGGAACUCGAGUGCUAUUAUCCUUUUGGGUGAUAGCUUUUCUCGAUCCUAAAAAGAUCGGGGAAUAAAAGCUGGGUAAGACGGGUGCCAGCCGCCGCGGUAAUACCCGCAGCUCAAGUGGUGGCCACUAUUAUUGAGCCUAAAGCGUCCGUAGCCGGUCUUGUAAAUCUCUGGGUAAAUCCCAUCGCUCAACGGUGGGAAGACUGGAGAGACUGCAAGACUAGGGAUCGGGUGAGGUAAGAGGUACUCCUGGGGUAGGGGUAAAAUUCUGUAAUCCUGGGGGGACGACCGGUGGCGAAGGCGUCUUACUAGAACGACUCCGACGGUGAGGGACGAAGGCUAGGGGAGCAAACCGGAUUAGAUACCCGGGUAGUCCUAGCUGUAAACGCUGCCCACUUGGUGUUGCCCUUUCGUAGGGAAGGGGCAGUGCCGGAGCGAAGGUGUUAAGUGGGCCGCUUGGGGAGUAUGGUCGCAAGGCUGAAACUUAAAGGAAUUGGCGGGAGAGCACCGCAACGGGAGGAGCGUGCGGUUUAAUUGGAUUCAACGCCGGG
Molecule: ribosomal RNA, 918 nt
Filed under: uncultured archaeon
Lineage: Archaea
Description: bacterial SSU rRNA
Rfam family: Archaeal small subunit ribosomal RNA
Source: RNAcentral